UGAGAUAUGGUGUAAUGGUAGCACUCCAGAUUCUGGCUCUGUCGGUGAGGGUUCGAGUCCUUCUAUCUCAACCA
This 74-nucleotide transfer RNA is filed under the name Bacteroidales bacterium. RNAcentral describes it as "tRNA-Gln". It matches the Rfam family "tRNA". From Rfam's summary of the family: Transfer RNA (tRNA) molecules are approximately 80 nucleotides in length. Their secondary structure includes four short double-helical elements and three loops (D, anti-codon, and T loops). Lineage: Bacteria; Pseudomonadati; Bacteroidota; Bacteroidia; Bacteroidales. RNAcentral also lists the same sequence under 1 other name. The record is from RNAcentral.